GUCUUUUUGAUAAUAAUUUAAAGUCUGGCCUGCCCAAUGAUAAUUUAAAUGGCCGCGGUAUUUUGACCGUGCAAAGGUAGCAUAAUCAUUAGUUUUUUAAUUGAAAGCUUGUAUGAAAGGUUGAACGAGAAAAUUACUGUCUCAAUUUUAUUUAAUAAGAAUUUUAUUUUUAAGUUAAAAAGCUUAAAUAAUUUUAAAAGACGAGAAGACCCUAUAGAGUUUUAUAUUUUUAAUAAUAAAUUUUUAAAUUAUUUAUUUAAUUAUUUAGAAUAUUUUAUUGGGGUGAUAAAUAAAUUUAAUAAACUUUAUUUUUUUUAAAACAUUUAUUUAUGUUAAUAAUGAUCCAAAUUUUUUGAUUAUAAGAUUAAAUUACCUUAGGGAUAACAGCGUAAUUUUUUUUGAGAGUUCAUAUCGAAAAGAAAGAUUGCGACCUCGAUGUUGGAUUAAAAUUUAUUUUUGGUGUAGAAGCUAAAAAAUUAAGUCUGUUCGACUUUUAAAAUUUUACAUGAUCUGAGUUUAAACCGGUGUGAGCCAGGUUGGUUUCUAUCUUUAAAUAAUAGAAAAUAUUUUAGUACGAAAGGACCAAAUAUUUAUAAAAUUUAUUUUGUUAUUGAAUAUUAUUGUUAUUUUGGCAGAUUAGUGCAUUAAAUUUAGAAUUUAAUUAUGUAAUUUAUUACAAAUAAUACUUGUUUUAUAAGGAUUUAAUUUUAAUAUUUAUUAGAAGUUUAUUAUUAGUAAUUUGUAUUUUAAUU
RNAcentral lists this ribosomal RNA (752 nucleotides) under Ochthebius subinteger. RNAcentral describes it as "partial large subunit ribosomal RNA". The stretch from base 1 to 575 matches the Rfam family "Bacterial large subunit ribosomal RNA", at positions 1819 to 2925 of the family's 2925-position model. The record is from RNAcentral. Lineage: Eukaryota; Metazoa; Arthropoda; Insecta; Coleoptera; Hydraenidae.